GGAAUAUUGGUCAAUGGAGGCAACUCUGAACCAGCCAUGCCGCGUGCAGGAAGACAGCCCUCUGGGUCGUAAACUGCUUUUCUUCGGGAAUAAACCUUAUUACGUGUAAUAAGCUGAAUGUACCGAAGGAAUAAGGAUCGGCUAACUCCGUGCCAGCAGCCGCGGUAAUACGGAGGAUCCAAGCGUUAUCCGGAUUUAUUGGGUUUAAAGGGUGCGUAGGCGGCGUGUUGAGUCAGGGGUGAAAGACGGUGGCUCAACCAUCGCAGUGCCCUUGAUACUGAUGGGCUUGAAGGAACUAGAGGUAGGCGUAAUGUGACAAGUAGCGGUGAAAUGCAUAGAUAUGUCACAGAACACCGAUUGCGAAGGCAGCUUACUAUGGUUUUAUUGACGCUGAGGCACGAAAGCGUGGGGAUCAAAC
This 418-nucleotide ribosomal RNA is filed under the name uncultured bacterium. RNAcentral's name for it is "bacterial SSU rRNA". It matches the Rfam family "Bacterial small subunit ribosomal RNA", at positions 358 to 773 of the family's 1533-position model. The record is from RNAcentral.